RNAcentral lists this ribosomal RNA (324 nucleotides) under Triticum aestivum (bread wheat). RNAcentral describes it as "partial small subunit ribosomal RNA". Lineage: Eukaryota; Viridiplantae; Streptophyta; Magnoliopsida; Poales; Poaceae. The record is from RNAcentral.
CUACUCGCCGCCUGCAUCUUCUCUCGCAAGGUGUGGCACCGCACCCUGGCUUGGUGCAAGCUCACCGUCCACCCUCCGGACAGCAACCUGACCCUCUACGAUUGGUGGCGAGACGCUGCAACCUCCGCCCCCCUCUCGCUACGCAAAGCAUUGGCUUCGAUCGCCCCCCUGGUCACUUGGGCCAUCUGGAAGCAUCGCAAUGCCUGCAUCUUCGAUCAUCGGCAACCCUCGAUUAGCUGCCUACUCUCCUCCAUCCAAGACGACGUGCGUGCCUGGGCAAAUGCCGGCGCCAAAGGGCUACAAGCUAUAAUCGACGCGCUGUAA